Molecule: ribosomal RNA, 405 nt
Filed under: uncultured bacterium
Lineage: Bacteria
Description: partial 16S ribosomal RNA
Rfam family: Bacterial small subunit ribosomal RNA
Source: RNAcentral
GAUGAACGCUGGCGGCGUGCCUAAUACAUGCAAGUCGAGCGGAGCGGGGACGGGUGAGUCCCACGUAGCUACCCUCCUAUAAGACUGGGAUAACUUCGGGAACCCUGAGCUAAACCGGUUACUUAUAGGUGGAUCCGCGCUGCAUUAGCUAGUUGGUAAGGUAACGGCUUACCAAGGCAACGAUGCAUAGCCGACCUGAGAGGGUGAUCGGCCACACUGGAACUGAGACACGGGCCAGACUCCUACGGGAGGCAGCAGUAGGGAAUAUUGCGCAAUGGGCGAAAGCCUGAUGGAGCCACGCCGCGUGAGUGAUGAAGGUCUUCGGAUCGUAAAGCUCUGUAAGUAGGGAAGCGGUACCAAAAGAGUAAGCAACGGCUAACUACGUGCCAGCAGCCGCGGUAAUUC